CAUUCCUUUUUCUGUUAAGCAGCAUGCGUGAUGCACUCAAAAAGGUGGGAAUGUGGUAGAAAAUUGGGGAACAGGAAUGGCAGUCUGCUGGAGAAGAAGUGCAUGAUGGGAUAGCCGUCGAGCCUUGACUUGUUUGCCUGUGUGCGUGUAUUUCUGAAUGCCCUAACCCAGGCAGGAAGCUGAGAUGGGAAGAGCUGGAAAAGCAGGUAACUGGGGAGAGCUGAGGCAGCAGCCUGCUAGAGGAAAGAGCACGGUGGAUGUUUCAAGGGAUGGAAGAACUGGGAUGGAGGGAGCUGCCCAUUAGCGCACCUGAUCUCAACUUCGGAAGAAGUCCAAAGGCUAUGAAGUAGCCUGACAGCUCAGACGACAGACGCCUUCUCUCCGCCGCCUGCCUCAUACCCAAACGAAGCCCUGCGUCUAAUCAAGAAUUGCACAGGGGACGGGAUGUCGAAUGGUGAAUGAAUUCAUUUAUUAAAGGAAAAGGAAAAAUAAAGGACAAAAGUAGUGGACAGAACAAAAAGGUU
Long non-coding RNA from Paramormyrops kingsleyae, 524 nucleotides. RefSeq lists it as uncharacterized. The record is from RefSeq and is a predicted model, not a curated record. NCBI's taxonomy places the organism in Eukaryota, Metazoa, Chordata, Actinopteri, Osteoglossiformes, Mormyridae.